CCUACGGGGGGCAGCAGUGGGGAAUAUUGGACAAUGGGCGCAAGCCUGAUCCAGCAAUGCCGCGUGUGUGAAGAAGGCCUGCGGGUUGUAAAGCACUUUCAGUUGAGGAGAAAGGUCUUGGGUUAAGACCCCAGGACUUUGACGUUAUCAACAGAAGAAGCACCGGCUAACUCCGUGCCAGCAGCCGCGGU
This 191-nucleotide ribosomal RNA is filed under the name uncultured bacterium. RNAcentral's name for it is "partial 16S ribosomal RNA". It matches the Rfam family "Bacterial small subunit ribosomal RNA", at positions 338 to 521 of the family's 1533-position model. The record is from RNAcentral.